RNAcentral lists this ribosomal RNA (465 nucleotides) under Vreelandella stevensii. RNAcentral describes it as "partial 16S ribosomal RNA". It matches the Rfam family "Bacterial small subunit ribosomal RNA", at positions 338 to 795 of the family's 1533-position model. Lineage: Bacteria; Pseudomonadati; Pseudomonadota; Gammaproteobacteria; Oceanospirillales; Halomonadaceae. The record is from RNAcentral.
CCUACGGGCGGCAGCAGUGGGGAAUAUUGGACAAUGGGGGGAACCCUGAUCCAGCCAUGCCGCGUGUGUGAAGAAGGCCCUCGGGUUGUAAAGCACUUUCAGUGAGGAAGAACGCCUGGUGGUUAAUACCCAUCAGGAAAGACAUCACUCACAGAAGAAGCACCGGCUAACUCCGUGCCAGCAGCCGCGGUAAUACGGAGGGUGCGAGCGUUAAUCGGAAUUACUGGGCGUAAAGCGCGCGUAGGUGGCUUGAUAAGCCGGUUGUGAAAGCCCCGGGCUCAACCUGGGAACGGCAUCCGGAACUGUCAAGCUAGAGUGCAGGAGAGGUAGGUAGAAUUCCCGGUGUAGCGGUGAAAUGCGUAGAGAUCGGGAGGAAUACCAGUGGCGAAGGCGGCCUUCUGGACUGACACUGACACUGAGGUGCGAAAGCGUGGGUAGCAAACAGGAUUAGAUACCCUUGUAGUC